GCCGGUGUAGCUCAGCGGUAGAGCAACGGUUUUGUAAACCGUUGGUCGUCGGUUCGAUUCCGGCCACCGGCU
RNAcentral lists this transfer RNA (72 nucleotides) under Fodinibius sediminis. It matches the Rfam family "tRNA". Rfam says of the family: Transfer RNA (tRNA) molecules are approximately 80 nucleotides in length. Their secondary structure includes four short double-helical elements and three loops (D, anti-codon, and T loops). Further hydrogen bonds mediate the characteristic L-shaped molecular structure. tRNAs have two regions of fundamental functional importance: the anti-codon, which is responsible for specific mRNA codon recognition, and the 3' end, to which the tRNAs corresponding amino acid is attached (by aminoacyl-tRNA synthetases). tRNAs cope with the degeneracy of the genetic code in two manners: having more than one tRNA (with a specific anti-codon) for a particular amino acid; and 'wobble' base-pairing, i.e. permitting non-standard base-pairing at the 3rd anti-codon position. The record is from Rfam by way of RNAcentral. Lineage: Bacteria; Pseudomonadati; Balneolota; Balneolia; Balneolales; Balneolaceae.